This 501-nucleotide ribosomal RNA is filed under the name uncultured bacterium. Its description in RNAcentral is "bacterial SSU rRNA". It matches the Rfam family "Bacterial small subunit ribosomal RNA", at positions 8 to 507 of the family's 1533-position model. The record is from RNAcentral.
AGAGUUUGAUCCUGGCUCAGAUUGAACGCUGGCGGUAUGCUUAACACAUGCAAGUCGAACGGUAACAGGCCUUCGGGCGCUGACGAGUGGCGGACGGGUGAGUAACGCGUAGGAAUCUGCCUCAUAGUGGGGGACAACGUGGGGAAACUCACGCUAAUACCGCAUACGCCCUACGGGGGAAAUGGGGGGAUCUUCGGACCUCGCGCUAUGAGAUGAGCCUGCGUUAGAUUAGCUAGUUGGUAGGGUAAAGGCCUACCAAGGCGACGAUCUAUAGCUGGUCUGAGAGGACGAUCAGCCACACUGGGACUGAGACACGGCCCAGACUCCUACGGGAGGCAGCAGUGGGGAAUAUUGGACAAUGGGCGCAAGCCUGAUCCAGCAAUACCGCGUGUGUGAAGAAGGCCCUAGGGUUGUAAAGCACUUUCAAUUGGGAGGAAAACCUGUCGGUCAAUACCCGGCAGCUUGACAUUACCUUUAGAAGAAGCACCGGCUAACUCCGUG